This 491-nucleotide ribosomal RNA is filed under the name uncultured bacterium. RNAcentral's name for it is "partial 16S ribosomal RNA". It matches the Rfam family "Bacterial small subunit ribosomal RNA", at positions 29 to 507 of the family's 1533-position model. The record is from RNAcentral.
AGUGAACGCUGGCGGUAGGCCUAACACAUGCAAGUCGAACGGCAGCACAGUAAGAGCUUGCUCUUACGGGUGGCGAGUGGCGGACGGGUGAGGAAUACAUCGGAAUCUACUUUUUCGUGGGGGAUAACGUAGGGAAACUUACGCUAAUACCGCAUACGACCUACGGGUGAAAGCAGGGGAUCUUCAGACCUUGCGCGAUUGAAUGAGCCGAUGUCGGAUUAGCUAGUUGGCGGGGUAAAGGCCCACCAAGGCGACGAUCCGUAGCUGGUCUGAGAGGAUGAUCAGCCACACUGGAACUGAGACACGGUCCAGACUCCUACGGGAGGCAGCAGUGGGGAAUAUUGGCAAUGGGCGCAAGCCUGAUCCAGCCAUACCGCGUGGGUGAAGAAGGCCUUCGUGUUGUAAAGCCCUUUUGUUGGGAAAGAAAAGCAGCAGGUUAAUACCCCGCUGUUCUGACGGUACCCAAAGAAUAAGCACCGGCUAACUUCGUG